This 411-nucleotide long non-coding RNA is filed under the name Olea europaea (common olive). RNAcentral's name for it is "long non-coding RNA (OEUR_LNC009020)". The record is from RNAcentral. Lineage: Eukaryota; Viridiplantae; Streptophyta; Magnoliopsida; Lamiales; Oleaceae.
ACCAUUCCACUUAUAGGUUAAACCCAACUCGAACACCUAGUAAACAAAAUACAAACACAACCCCUGCUGCCAUAUUUCCACCUUCAAGUGAAGCCCAAAUGGUCUAAUCAGCCUAAUGCCACCUCAAUUGGCCCUAAAAGCAUAAGCAUGGCACAUAGCGGCUAUGCAGUGGUGAACAACUCAUUGGCAAUCAGAUCGUCGACGCAAAGCACAGCUUGUUGACCUACUUGGCACACUGUCGACGUCGCCUCUGUCAUGGCGUCGGAGAGUAUGGGUUGGGUAGAGAAAGAAGCCGCCGAAGAGUAUAGAGGUCGGAGUAUAAAGAGAUAGGGGAAGAGAGAGAAUGGAUGUGAAGAAAUGAUUUGGGGAUUAAAAUUGAAAUUGUAGGGUGCACUAUAGGUGGAUGUAGAG